Molecule: long non-coding RNA, 817 nt
Organism: Lutzomyia longipalpis
Lineage: Eukaryota; Metazoa; Arthropoda; Insecta; Diptera; Psychodidae
Exons: 2
Source: RefSeq, a predicted model, not a curated record
UAGCAAAGUAAGUACAUUAUACACUAAUUAGGAUAUAGUUAAACGAUGUGUAUAAGAAAUUAAGUUGCAAUUUAUAUAAUUGUACGCGAAAAUAGAAAUUUUCUUUUUUACAGGUUACGUGUUUCGACAAGUCCAGGUGAGAGAUUUUUUUCGAAUAAAAGCAGGUAAAAAGAGAAGUAUUUUAAUUAAAGAGCGCUCUUCUGUAAAUAGUAGUAGUAGUAGUAGUAAUAGCAGUAGUAGUAGCAGUAGUAUGUAGUAGAAGUAGUCGGGGUAGUAGUAGUAAAUAUUAUGUAUGUAAUAUUUGACAAAUUUUUCUAUUAUUCCAUUAUUAUUCAUUGAUUUGUCUUUUCAUGCUACAUGUUCCCGGACAACUUCUAUUCUCCGGACUCUCCCAGGCUCCCCAAAAAGAGUGUCCAUGGACAACCCAAUGGAUUGUCAAUGGAUUCGUCCCAUGUGUCCCAUGGACUUUUCUUGUUUUUUUCUUAUAUUCUGUAAUAUUCUUACAGCUACAUGUUCCCGGCGUUCCCGGACAACUAUCUUACGGAUACUCCCACGUUACAAAAGCUCGCCAAAGAGAACUAUCAGCAUUUAUGACGAAGGGAAUGGAGAAAAGAAAAGACCGUGCCUUGGAAAACAGAAGUAGGAGAGCAUCCCGUGUCUUGGAAAACAGAAAUUGCAGAGCAUCCCGUGUCUUGGAAUACAGGAGUUGCAGAACAUCUCAAAGACCCAGGACGUCAGAGUUCAACCGCCGAAGGACAAAGUAUCAUACAUGUAAGAUUUAUAUAUAUAAUUUUUAAAUAAAAAAAUAAAAAAUUAA